AACUAAUUAUAGCUCACAACUCAAACUCCACAAAAUUAUUUCUAAAACUAAAACAAAACAUUUUAAAAUGACUAAAGUAUAGGCGAUAGAAAUUUUACCUGACGCUAUAGAGAUAGUACCGCAAGGGAAAACCUGAAAGAAAAUUUAAAGUAGGAAACAGCAAAGCUUAACCCUUGUACCUUUUGCAUAAUGAUUCAGCCAGUAGAUACUAGCAAAAAGAAUUACAGUUAGAUUACCCGAAACCAGACGAGCUACCUGCCAGCAGUCAACAGGGCAAACUCAUCUAUGUGGCAAAAUAGUGAGGCGACUGUCAGGUAGAGGUGACAAGCCUAUCGAGCCUGGUGAUAGCUGGUUAUCCAGAGCAGAAUUUUAGUUCUAAUUUAAAUCUAUUAAACAAAAAAACAAAUUACAAUGUAGGUUUAAAUAAUAAUCUAAAAAGGUACAGCUUUUUAGAUAAGGAAUACAAUCCCUAUUAGAGAGUAAAUCAUAAUCAACCACAAUAGUUGGCCUAAAAGCAGCCACCAAAUAAGAAAGCGUUCAAGCUCAACAGUCUAAAUAGUUAAUUCCACAAUAAAGAUUAAAUCUCCUAAAACUAAGACUGGAUUAUUCUAUUCACAAAUAGAAGCAACACUGCUGAUAUGAGUAACAAGAAAAAUUUUCUCCCCGCACACGUGUAUAUCAUGAACGAAUAGAUCACUGAUAGUUAGCAAAACAAACAUUUAUUAAAAUACUAGAUCCUAACAUUAAUUGUUAAUCCAACACAGGGGUGCAAACAGGGAAAGGUUAAAAGAAGUAAAAGGAACUCGGCAAACAAAAACCCCGCCUGUUUACCAAAAACAUCACCUCUAGCAUAAAAAGUAUUAGAGGCACUGCCUGCCCAGUGACUAUAGUUUAACGGCCGCGGUAUCCUGACCGUGCAAAGGUAGCAUAAUCACUUGUUCCCUAAAUAGGGACUUGUAUGAAUGGCCCCACGAGGGUUUUGCUGUCUCUUACUUCCAACCAGUGAAAUUGACAUCCCCGUGAAGAGGCGGGGAUAAAAUAAUAAGACGAGAAGACCCUAUGGAGCUUUAAUUUACCAACUCACACUAUUUCUUGAUAAACUCCCAACUAGGGAUAAACUUAUUUUAACUGAGUUAGAAAUUUAGGUUGGGGUGACCUCGGAAUAAAAAUAAACCUCCGAGAAAAAUUCUAUUGAGACUGACAAGUCAAAAUUAUAUUUAUUACAUACUGAUCCGUCAACGGCGAUCAACGAAACAAGUUACCCUAGGGAUAACAGCGCAAUCCUAUUUAAGAGUCCAUAUCGACAAUUAGGGUUUACGACCUCGAUGUUGGAUCAGGACAUCCCAAUGGUGCAGCAGCUAUUAAUGAGUUCGUUUGUUCAACGAUUAAAGUCCUACGUGAUCUGAGUUCAGACCGGAGUAAUCCAGGUCGGUUUCUAUCUAUUAACAAGUCUCUUCCAGUACGAAAGGACAAGAGAGACAGGGCCCACUUAAAAUAAGCGCCCUAACAAUAACAGAUGAAUUAAUCUUAAUCUUAACACACCCAUAAACAUUCAAGAAAAAAAUCAA
This 1568-nucleotide ribosomal RNA is filed under the name Nyctalus aviator. RNAcentral's name for it is "16S ribosomal RNA". It matches the Rfam family "Bacterial large subunit ribosomal RNA", at positions 359 to 2925 of the family's 2925-position model. Lineage: Eukaryota; Metazoa; Chordata; Mammalia; Chiroptera; Vespertilionidae. The record is from RNAcentral.